AUUAUAUCAACUACAUAUAGACAUUUAAUGGUGAAUUUUAAAACCCUUGUGGGUUCUACUACUUCAAGUACACUGGGUUUAUAUUCGUCUCUAACUCCGAAAUAAAGCAGUACCCCACAUGUACGCCUUUGCCAGGUUUUUGGGCAACUUGCAGAGUAAAAUUAGAGCCAUGCCAGGGAUGCUAUCUGUAUCACCAUACUAACUAGCCAUUGCUACGAUCAGAAAUGUUUGAGCCCUUACCAUACCAUCCAACAUUAUGUCCUGAGAAGUGACACACUCUGUGUGUGGUAGUGGGUGAGGGGUGCCAAUGGCUAUGACCAAAGGGGGUGGAUCUGACAGAAAGGGGAUAGGUAAGUCCAGAUUACUGACAGGUCAGUCUGGUGUGAAUGUCCACUGAGGACAGGACAUGCAUGGGAG
This is a non-coding RNA of Pelobates cultripes (western spadefoot toad), 417 nucleotides long. The record is from the annotation of a GenBank genome assembly. Lineage: Eukaryota; Metazoa; Chordata; Amphibia; Anura; Pelobatidae.